RNAcentral lists this unclassified non-coding RNA (90 nucleotides) under Pseudomonas brenneri. Lineage: Bacteria; Pseudomonadati; Pseudomonadota; Gammaproteobacteria; Pseudomonadales; Pseudomonadaceae. The record is from RNAcentral.
UGUGGGAGCGGGCUUGCUCGCGAUAGCGGUGUAUCAGUCGCCGAAUCUAUUGACUGAUCUAUCGCUAUCGCGAGCAAGCCCGCUCCCACA